UCCAGCAGCCGCGGUAAUACGUAGGUGGCAAGCGUUGUCCGGAUUUAUUGGGCGUAAAGCGAGCGCAGGCGGUUUUUUAAGUCUGAUGUGAAAGCCUUCGGCUCAACCGAAGAAGUGCAUCGGAAACUGGGAAACUUGAGUGCAGAAGAGGACAGUGGAACUCCAUGUGUAGCGGUGAAAUGCGUAGAUAUAUGGAAGAACACCAGUGGCGAAGGCGGCUGUCUGGUCUGUAACUGACGCUGAGGCUCGAAAGUAUGGGUAGCAAACAGGAUUAGAUACCCUGGUAGUCCAUACCGUAAACGAUGAAUGCUAAGUGUUGGAGGGUUUCCGCCCUUCAGUGCUGCAGCUAACGCAUUAAGCAUUCCGCCUGGGGAGUACGGCCGCAAGGCUGAAACUCAAAGGAAUUGACGGGGGCCCGCACAAGCGGUGGAGCAUGUGGUUUAAUUCGAAGCUACGCGAAGAACCUUACCAGGUCUUGACAUACUAUGCAAAUCUAAGAGAUUAGACGUUCCCUUCGGGGACAUGGAUACAGGUGGUGCAUGGUUGUCGUCAGCUCGUGUCGUGAGAUGUUGGGUUAAGUCCCGCAACGAGCCGCACCCUUAUUAUCAGUUGCCAGCAUUAAGUUGGGCACUCUGGUGAGACUGCCGGUGACAAACCGGAGGAAGGUGGGGAUGACGUCAAAUCAUCAUGCCCCUUAUGACCUGGGCUACACACGUGCUACAAUGGAUGGUACAACGAGUUGCGAACUCGCGAGAGUAAGCUAAUCUCUUAAAGCCAUUCUCAGUUCGGAUUGUAGGCUGCAACUCGCCUACAUGAAGUCGGAAUCGCUAGUAAUCGCGGAUCAGCAUGCCGCGGUGAAUACGUUCCCGGGCCUUGUACACACCGCCCGUCACACCAUGAGAGUUUGUAACACCCAAAGUCGGUGGGGUAACCUUUUAGGAACCAGCCGCCUAAGGUGGGACAGAUGAUUAGGGUGAAGUCGUAACAAGGUAA
Molecule: ribosomal RNA, 993 nt
Filed under: Lactiplantibacillus plantarum
Lineage: Bacteria; Bacillati; Bacillota; Bacilli; Lactobacillales; Lactobacillaceae
Description: bacterial SSU rRNA
Rfam family: Bacterial small subunit ribosomal RNA
Source: RNAcentral